UACGUAGGGGCCGAGCGUUGUCCGGAAUUACUGGGCGUAAAGCAUGCGCAGGCGGUUUUGUAAGCCAGAUGUGAAAUCCCCGGGCUUAACCUGGGAAUGGCAUUUGGGACUGCAAGGCUGGAGUGUGGCAGAGGAGACUGGAAUUCCUGGUGUAGCAGUGAAAUGCGUAGAUAUCAGGAGGAAUACCGAUGGCGAAGGCAGGUCUCUGGGCUGACACUGACGCUCAUGCACGAAAGCGUGGGGAGCAAACAGG
This 253-nucleotide ribosomal RNA is filed under the name uncultured bacterium. Its description in RNAcentral is "partial 16S ribosomal RNA". It matches the Rfam family "Bacterial small subunit ribosomal RNA", at positions 524 to 776 of the family's 1533-position model. The record is from RNAcentral.